RNAcentral lists this ribosomal RNA (853 nucleotides) under uncultured bacterium. RNAcentral describes it as "bacterial SSU rRNA". It matches the Rfam family "Bacterial small subunit ribosomal RNA", at positions 23 to 896 of the family's 1533-position model. The record is from RNAcentral.
AAAAUGUUGACUGCAUGACGGCGGUUUAAUACAUGCAGUCGGCGGAGAUUGCAGCGAUGUAAUCUUAGUGGCGAACGGGUGAGUAACGCGUUGGUGACCUGCCCCAAAGCGUGGGAUAACAGUUCGAAAGGACUGCUAAUACCGCAUGAAGUUACAGGCGUUAGAGAACUGUAACGAAAGGUGCAAACCGCUAUGGGAGGGGCCUGCGUCCCAUCAGCUAGUUGGUAGGGUAAAAGCCUACCAAGGCGACGACGGGUAGGGGGCCUGAGAGGGUGACCCCCCACACUGGCACUGAAACACGGGCCAGACACCUACGGGUGGCAGCAGUAGGGAAUAUUGGUCAAUGGGCGAAAGCCUGAACCAGCAACGCCGCGUGCACGAUGAAGGCCUUCGGGUCGUAAAGUGCUUUUCGGGGAGACGAGGAAGGACGGUAUCCCCGGAAUAAGGAUCGGCUAACUACGUGCCAGCAGCCGCGGUAAAACGUAGGAUCCGAGCGUUAUCCGAAUUCACUGGGCGUAAAGCGCGUGUAGGCGGUUCGGUAAGUUGGAUGUGAAAUCUCCUGGCUCAACUGGGAGGGGACGUUCAAUACUGUCGGACUAGAGGACGGCAGAGGAAGGUGGAAUUCCCGGUGUAGUGGUGAAAUGCGUAGAUAUCGGGAGGAACACCAGUGGCGAAGGCGGCCUUCUGGGCCGUUUCUGACGCUCAGACGCGAAAGCUAGGGGAGCAAACGGGAUUAGAUACCCUGGUAGUCCACGCCGUAAACGAUGGGCACUAGGUGUAGGAGGUAUUGACCCCUUCUGUGCCGAAGUUAACGCAUUAAGUGCCCCCGCCUGGGAGUACGGCCGCAAGGUUA